GACGAACGCUGGCGGCGUGCUUAACACAUGCAAGUCGAACGGAAAGGCCCUGCUUUUGUGGGGUGCUCGAGUGGCGAACGGGUGAGUAACACGUGAGUAACCUGCCCUUGACUUUGGGAUAACUUCAGGAAACUGGGGCUAAUACCGGAUAGGAGCUCCUGCUGCAUGGUGGGGGUUGGAAAGUUUCGGCGGUUGGGGAUGGACUCGCGGCUUAUCAGCUUGUUGGUGGGGUAGUGGCUUACCAAGGCUUUGACGGGUAGCCGGCCUGAGAGGGUGACCGGCCACCUUGGGACUGAGGUACGGCCCAGACUCCUACGGGAGGCAGCAGUGGGGAAUAUUGCACAAUGGGCGGAAGCCUGAUGCAGCAACGCCGCGUGCGGGAUGACGGCCUUCGGGUUGUAAACCGCUUUCGCCUGUGACGAAGCGUUAGUGACGGUAAUGGGUAAAGAAGCACCGGCUAACUACGUG
RNAcentral lists this ribosomal RNA (468 nucleotides) under uncultured bacterium. Its description in RNAcentral is "partial 16S ribosomal RNA". It matches the Rfam family "Bacterial small subunit ribosomal RNA", at positions 28 to 507 of the family's 1533-position model. The record is from RNAcentral.